Molecule: ribosomal RNA, 253 nt
Filed under: uncultured bacterium
Lineage: Bacteria
Description: partial 16S ribosomal RNA
Rfam family: Bacterial small subunit ribosomal RNA
Source: RNAcentral
UACAGAGGGGGCAAGCGUUGUUCGGAAUUACUGGGCGUAAAGGGCGCGUAGGCGGCCCGCUAAGUCGAACGUGAAAUCCCUGGGCUUAACCCAGGAACUGCGUCCGAUACUGGCAGGCUUGAAUCCGGGGGAGGGAUGCGGAAUUCCAGGUGUAGCGGUGAAAUGCGUAGAUAUCAGGAGGAACACCGGUGGUGUAGACGGCUUUCUGGACCGUAACUGACGCUGAGACACGAAAGCGUGGGUAGCAAACAGG